RNAcentral lists this non-coding RNA (92 nucleotides) under Paraburkholderia tropica. Lineage: Bacteria; Pseudomonadati; Pseudomonadota; Betaproteobacteria; Burkholderiales; Burkholderiaceae. The record is from RNAcentral.
GUUUAUGGGUGGGCCAUGGUGGGGAGGCGCUCGCGCCUGCCGGUUUCCUAGAACGCCGGUCUGCUAACCCCGCUAUGUGCCUGCCCACCCGU